This is a long non-coding RNA of Rhagoletis zephyria (snowberry fruit fly), 838 nucleotides long. RefSeq lists it as uncharacterized. The record is from RefSeq and is a predicted model, not a curated record. NCBI's taxonomy places the organism in Eukaryota, Metazoa, Arthropoda, Insecta, Diptera, Tephritidae.
GUUUCAAAAAGUAUAGUGUAAAACGAAAUUUAUUGAAUAAUUCUACAUAAAAUUAUAUACGUAAAUGACUCACUAUGUAAACUAUUGGAAUACAACUUAUUUCAUUACGUUUUUUAUGCAAAAUGAUAAUGACUAUCUGAAUGCUCGGAGCACUGCCACUAAAAUGAGAAACUACAGAAAAAAUACUGCUCUGGUGCUACUUGUGCUGUGGUGAAUAUAUAUUUCUAUUUAUUUUCUUCUGUUUACGAGAAAUACAAGCAGCAAGAUCAAGGGAUAUGGCGGAGGAAUGGUUUUUAAACAUCUUGGCGAUGGGCUGUUUACCUGCUGGAUACUUGCAAUCUCAUUUGCAAAAAAUAUGACACGCACACUGCCACUUUAAGGUAUUUCUUUUCUGAGGAAUCAUGUAGGAAAACGAAGAGGAGCCGUGCAAAAUUUCGGGCAGCUGUUUCUUGCAAUUUUAUGGGUACGAAGGUCGCUGAGGGUCAAUGACAGCCUUUUGGAUAAAUUAAACCGAAAUUUCUGCAACAUGAAUUAACAUGAAUCAAUGUUAUUAGUGUACGGUGAUGACCAUGAUGUGAAAUUAGGUUGGCUAGGAUUCCAACAAGGAAAUGAUGAAAAACACCCUCAUCGAAUACGAUAUAACUCUGUUGGUUGGCAAUCCACGUUGCUUUGAAUCAACGAAAUUCGGUGGUUCAGGUGCCCGUGCUCUUGCAGGAAAUAUGGUUAAGCAUUGAUUGCGACAUAUGUACGAAUGUGCGCUUAAUAAUAUUUUAUAAUGAUACUAUCGAGAGAAAAACAAACGUUUUCUUAAAUCAGCUUUAAGUUACAAUUUCCUACU